GAAAUGCGAUAAGUAGUGUGAAUUGCAGAAUUCAGUGAAUCAUCGAAUCUUUGAACGCACAUUGCGCCCUUUGGUAUUCCUUAGGGCAUGCCUGUUCGAGCGUCAUCUAAACCUUCAAGCCCUGCUUGGUGUUGGGUGCCUGUCCCGCCUCCGCGCGCGGACUCACCUCAAAUCCAUUGGCGGCCCCCGCGUCGGCCACGAGCGCAGCAGAAACGCGAACUCGUGAGCCCGUCCGGGCGGCUCCCAGAAGCUACACCCACCCAGUUUGACCUCGGAUCAGGUAGGGACACCCGCUGAACUUAAGC
Molecule: unclassified non-coding RNA, 305 nt
Filed under: plant metagenome
Description: partial contains 5.8S ribosomal RNA, internal transcribed spacer 2, and large subunit ribosomal RNA
Rfam family: 5.8S ribosomal RNA (bases 1-105)
Source: RNAcentral